This 559-nucleotide ribosomal RNA is filed under the name Phoma sp. ICMP 10493. RNAcentral describes it as "eukaryotic LSU rRNA". It matches the Rfam family "Eukaryotic large subunit ribosomal RNA", at positions 38 to 600 of the family's 3401-position model. The record is from RNAcentral. Lineage: Eukaryota; Fungi; Ascomycota; Dothideomycetes; Pleosporales; Didymellaceae.
GCAUAUCAAUAAGCGGAGGAAAAGAAACCAACAGGGAUUGCCCUAGUAACGGCGAGUGAAGCGGCAACAGCUCAAAUUUGAAAUCUGGCGUCUUUGGCGUCCGAGUUGUAAUUUGCAGAGGGCGCUUUGGCAUUGGCAGCGGUCCAAGUUCCUUGGAACAGGACGUCACAGAGGGUGAGAAUCCCGUACGUGGUCGCUAGCCUUUACCGUGUAAAGCCCCUUCGACGAGUCGAGUUGUUUGGGAAUGCAGCUCUAAAUGGGAGGUAAAUUUCUUCUAAAGCUAAAUACUGGCCAGAGACCGAUAGCGCACAAGUAGAGUGAUCGAAAGAUGAAAAGCACUUUGGAAAGAGAGUUAAAAAGCACGUGAAAUUGUUGAAAGGGAAGCGCUUGCAGCCAGACUUGCCUGUAGUUGCUCAUCCGGGUUUUUACCCGGUGCACUCUUCUAUAGGCAGGCCAGCAUCAGUUUGGGCGGUUGGAUAAAGGUCUCUGUCAUGUACCUCUCUUCGGGGAGAACUUAUAGGGGAGACGACAUGCAACCAGCCUGGACUGAGGUCCGCGC